UGGGGGAUAUUGCACAAUGGGCGAAAGCCUGAUGCAGCGACGCCGCGUGGGGGAUGAAGGCCUUCGGGUUGUAAACUUCUUUUUCUCUGAACAAGGCAUGCUAAUGGGUGUGUUGAGUGUAGGGGUUGAUUAGCGCCGGCUAACUACGUGCCAGCAGCCGCGGUAAUACGUAGGGCGCGAGCGUUGUCCGGAAUUAUUGGGCGUAAAGGGCUUGUAGGUGGCUGGUUGCGUCUGUCGUGAAAGCUCAUGGCUUAACUGUGGGUUUGCGGUGGGUACGGGCUGGCUUGAGUGCAGUAGGGGAGGCUGGAAUUCCUGGUGUAGCGGUGGAAUGCGCAGAUAUCAGGAGGAAUACCGGUGGCGAAGGCGGGUCUCUGGGCUGUUACUGACACUGAGGAGCGAAAGCAUGGGGAGCGAACAGG
Molecule: ribosomal RNA, 419 nt
Filed under: bacterium
Lineage: Bacteria
Description: partial 16S ribosomal RNA
Rfam family: Bacterial small subunit ribosomal RNA
Source: RNAcentral